Molecule: ribosomal RNA, 467 nt
Filed under: uncultured bacterium
Lineage: Bacteria
Description: partial 16S ribosomal RNA
Rfam family: Bacterial small subunit ribosomal RNA
Source: RNAcentral
GACGAACGCUGGCGGCGUGCUUAACACAUGCAAGUCGAACGGAAAGGCCCUGCUUUUGUGGGGUGCUCGAGUGGCGAACGGGUGAGUAACACGUGAGUAACCUGCCCUUGACUUUGGGAUAACUUCAGGAAACUGGGGCUAAUACCGGAUAGGAGCUCCUGCUGCAUGGUGGGGGUUGGAAAGUUUCGGCGGUUGGGGAUGGACUCGCGGCUUAUCAGCUUGUUGGUGGGGUAGUGGCUUACCAAGGCUUUGACGGGUAGCCGGCCUGAGAGGGUGACCGGCCACAUUGGGACUGGGAUACGGCCCAGACUCCUACGGGAGGCAGGAGUGGGGAAUAUUGCACAAUGGGCGGAAGCCUGAUGCAGCAACGCCGCGUGCGGGAUGACGGCCUUCGGGUUGUAAACCGCUUUCGCCUGUGACGAAGCGUGAGUGAGGGUAAUGGGUAAAGAAGCACCGGCUAACUACGU